RNAcentral lists this ribosomal RNA (872 nucleotides) under uncultured Alphaproteobacteria bacterium. Its description in RNAcentral is "bacterial SSU rRNA". It matches the Rfam family "Bacterial small subunit ribosomal RNA", at positions 9 to 921 of the family's 1533-position model. Lineage: Bacteria; Pseudomonadati; Pseudomonadota; Alphaproteobacteria. The record is from RNAcentral.
GAGUUUGAUUCUGGCUCAGAACGAACGCUGGCGGCAGGCCUAAGACAUGCAAGUCGUACGAGAAAGCCCUUUCGGGGGUGAGUAGAGUGGCGAACGGGUUAGUAACGCGUGGGAACAUACACAGCACAGGGGGAUAACCAUUGGAAACGAUGGCUAAUACCGCAUACGCCCUAUGGGGGAAAGAUUUAUCGGUGUUGGAUUGGCCCGCGUUAGAUUAGCUAGUUGGUGGGGUAAUUGCCUACCAAGGCGACGAUUUAUAGCUGGUUUGAGAGGAUGAUCAGCAACACUGGAACUGAGACACGGUCCAGACUCCUACGGGAGGCAGCAGUCGGGAAUAUUGUGCAAUGGGGGCAACCCUGACACAGCCAUGCCGCGUGAGUGAAGAAGGCCUUAGGGUUGUAAAGCUCUUUCAGAUGUGAGGAUGAUGACGAUAGCAUCACAAGAAGCUCCGGCUAACUUCGUGCCAGCAGCCGCGGUAAUACGAAGGGAGCAAGCGUUGUUCGGAAUUACUGGGCGUAAAGGGCGUGUAGGCGGAUUAUCAAGUUAGGGGUGAAAUCCCGGGGCUCAACCUCGGCACUGCCUUUAAGACUGAUAAUCUAGAGUAUGUGAGGGGAUAAUGGAAUACCUAGUGUAGAGGUGAAAUUCGUAGAUAUUAGGUGGAACACCAGUGGCGAAGGCGAUUAUCUGGCACAUUACUGACGCUGAGGCGCGAAAGCGUGGGGAGCAAACGGGAUUAGAUACCCCGGUAGUCCACGCCGUAAACGAUGUAUACUAGUUGUCGGGCAUUGGUUCGGUGACGCAGCUAACGCAUUAAGUAUACCGCCUGGGGAGUACGGUCGCAAGAUUAAAACUCAAAGAAAUUGACGGGGACC